RNAcentral lists this ribosomal RNA (768 nucleotides) under uncultured marine bacterium. RNAcentral's name for it is "bacterial SSU rRNA". It matches the Rfam family "Bacterial small subunit ribosomal RNA", at positions 9 to 792 of the family's 1533-position model. The record is from RNAcentral.
GAGUUUGAUCCUGGCUCAGGAUGAACGCUGGCGGCGUGCCUAAUACAUGCAAGUCGAGCGCCCCUUCUUUGGUAAUUAUCGGUAGAUAGUUGUCAGUGAUGGGGAGCGGCGGACGGGUGAGUAACGCGUGGGAAUCUACCCCAGACUGAGGGAUAAGCCCGAGAAAUCGGGUCUAAUACCGCAUAACCUCUUCGGAGAAAAGCUUCGGCGGUUUGGGAAGAGCCUGCGUCCGAUUAGCUAGUUGGUAAGGUAAAGGCUUACCAAGGCGACAAUCGGUAGCUGGUCUGAGAGGAUGAUCAGCCACACUGGAACUGAGACACGGUCCAGACUCCUACGGGAGGCAGCAGUAGGGAAUUUUCCACAAUGGGGGCAACCCUGAUGGAGCGACGCCGCGUGCAGGACGAAGGCCCUCGGGUUGUAAACUGCUUUUAUGAGUGAAGAUUAUGACGGUAACUCAUGAAUAAGGAUCGGCUAACUCCGUGCCAGCAGCCGCGGUCAUACGGAGGAUCCAAGCGUUAUCCGGAAUUACUGGGCGUAAAGAGUUGCGUAGGCGUCCCGCCAAGUUUCUGCUUAAAGACUGGGGCUCAACCUCAGGAACAGUAGAAAAACUGGCGAGAUAGAGCAUGAGAGGGGUGGCUGGAAUUCCUGGUGUAGGAGUGAAAUCCGUAGAUAUCAGGAGGAACACCAAUGGCGUAGGCAGGCCACUGGCUCAUUGCUGACGCUCAGGCACGAAAGCGUGGGGAGCGAACCGGAUUAGAUACCCUGGUA